This 490-nucleotide ribosomal RNA is filed under the name uncultured bacterium. RNAcentral's name for it is "partial 16S ribosomal RNA". It matches the Rfam family "Bacterial small subunit ribosomal RNA", at positions 30 to 507 of the family's 1533-position model. The record is from RNAcentral.
AUUGAACGCUGGCGGCAGGCCUAACACAUGCAAGUCGAACGGUAACAGGAAGAAGCUUGCUUCUUUGCUGACGAGUGGCGGACGGGUGAGUAAUGUCUGGGAAACUGCCUGAUGGAGGGGGAUAACUACUGGAAACGGUAGCUAAUACCGCAUAACGUCGCAAGACCAAAAAGGGGGACCUUCGGGCCUCUUGCCAUCGGAUGUGCCCAGAUGGGAUUAGCUAGUAGGUGGGGUAACGGCUCACCUAGGCGACGAUCCCUAGCUGGUCUGAGAGGAUGACCAGCCACACUGGAACUGAGACACGGUCCAGACUCCCACGGGAGGCAGCAGUGGGGAAUAUUGCACAAUGGGCGCAAGCCUGAUGCAGCCAUGCCGCGUGUAUGAAGAAGGCCUUCGGGUUGUAAAGUACUUUCAGCGGGGAGGAAGGGAGUAAAGUUAAUACCUUUGCUUAUUGACGUUACCCGCAGAAGAAGCACCGGCUAACUCCGUG